GGAGACUUUGGCACCCCGGGUUCAGAUAGGAAACUGAAAGAAAGGUGCCAAGACAGACUGAUGCAGAUUGACUACGCUUUACUGGCUCUUAGCAGCACUUGUCAAAAGGCAUCUUAGUUAUUGUUAGUUGAGCAAUCUCGCCCUAGGAAAGAAAAAGCUGUCGGAAGCUUCCUUGUUUAACACAAGAAUCUGUAGCUCCAAGGAGGCAGCAUGAAAGCAACCUAUUAAACACAAAUGAGCAACACAGGUCAGGCAUAGACCCACCCAGAUCUGCUUAAAGAUGGAUAGUCCCUGAGGCAUCGGCUGAAGUUUGUCUGCAGCAUGGACAUAGCUAUCCUUCCCCUGUCAAGUGCCCAUGGCCUGGAUGCCCAAAGAUAGGUGUCUGAGGCAAGAGCCAAGAUGUGCGCAAUGGCACUUUUUCAGCUGGGCAGAACUAUGAUUACCGGCCCCAGUGAUGGCUUUACUUCUGGAGUGAACAUCAACACGCUACAGAGAGUUGAAGCCCACGUGCAGAUUACUAUGUGCCUAUAGACAGAGUCUAAUGAGGAAGAGAGAGUCACAUAGCUCUGAUUCCCAAAUACCUAUUGACUGUGUUUCCUGUGAA
This 604-nucleotide long non-coding RNA is filed under the name Gallus gallus (chicken). RNAcentral's name for it is "long non-coding RNA NONGGAT004054". The record is from RNAcentral. Lineage: Eukaryota; Metazoa; Chordata; Aves; Galliformes; Phasianidae.